UACAGAGACUGCAAGCGUUAUUCGGAUUCACUGGGCGUAAAGGGUGCGCAGGCGGCCGUGUGUGUGAGGCGUGAAAGCCCGGGGCUUAACCCCGGAAUUGCACCUCAAACUACACGGCUAGAGCAUUGGAGAGGGUAGCAGAAUUCACGGUGUAGCAGUGAAAUGCGUAGAUAUCGUGAGGAAUACCAGAGGCGAAGGCGGGUCUCUGGACAGUUCCUGACACUGAGGCACGAAGGCCAGGGGAGCAAACGGG
Molecule: ribosomal RNA, 253 nt
Filed under: uncultured bacterium
Lineage: Bacteria
Description: partial 16S ribosomal RNA
Rfam family: Bacterial small subunit ribosomal RNA
Source: RNAcentral